Molecule: long non-coding RNA, 1078 nt
Organism: Zeugodacus cucurbitae (melon fly)
Lineage: Eukaryota; Metazoa; Arthropoda; Insecta; Diptera; Tephritidae
Exons: 2
Source: RefSeq, a predicted model, not a curated record
AUGGUUACGCUUUUCUAUCAGCUGAAUUCCCAUUUAUUUACCAUUUUGACAAAAAUAUAUAAUUUAUUUGUUUACAUAAAUCAGCUGUCAUUCUUACUGCCUGCCUUUUAAUGUUUUGGAUGCCAAAUGUCAAUAAAGGUGAAACGCAAGGAACUUAAGUGCAAAGAUAAAAAUUAAAAUUAAAUGGAAGUAAAUUUUCAAUUAAAAAAUUUCGUGAAACCGGCUGUUAAUGUUUUACUUCUGGAUGACGACGGCUAUUGGAAAAUUAUGGAUGAUGUAAAUGCAAAUUUUUAAUUAUUUUAUCAAACCAUCGCGAAAAUUAUUAAAAUGUUCCCAAAUGUUUGGAAUGGCGAUCUACUGUCCUUGUCAAGUUAGAGGACGUUUUCAACAGUUGCUCCGAGUAUAAAUUUGCAUUUGUAUUGUCUCUGAUCAAAGAUAGUGCCCAGUUCAACAACACUCUAUCCGUCAGGCAAUAUUCGAAAGAUUUCCAGAUAGUUAUAAUUUUAUAUCCAUUGGGUUCAUCUGGUGAAAAUGCUGCAAUUCAAAAAGUAGCUACGCUAUUUGGUGUAGGAGAUGGAGAAACGCUUUACAAAAUAACAAAGCGAGUAUUUUCGGCUCUUUUGGAAUUGAAAUCUAAAUAUAUCACUUGGGCUGAUGCAAAUAAAAAGCAAGAAAUUGUAAAAACAACGUACAUUGAAAUGCCUUAUUGUAUAGGAUACAGAACUGAAACUUGCUGAAAUACCCGUUAUUAAUCAUGCGGCUUAAUGUACAUGACGCUCGCAUGUUCCGUACUAGUGCUCUCUCCAAUCAGGAAGAUUCAUAUUUUUCAUCCUAUCAAUGGGUGGCAGGGGAAUCUGCUUAUCCAUUACUGACCACCCUUCUCACACCAUAUUGAGCGAUUUCGCAACAGUUGGACUAUUCAAAGCGUAAAUUUUAUUUAUUUAUUUAUUUACAAGAGAAGUAAUUAUAAAUAAUAACUCCACUAAAUUUAAAGCACUGGCUACAGAGGCCUUCGGCUCUUAUAUUACGUUGUUAUACUAACUUGCUUACAAUUAAAUUAAAUUGGAUAUAUUACAUA